CCUACGGGAUGCAGCAGUGGGGAAUAUUGCACAAUGGGGGGAACCCUGAUGCAGCGACGCCGCGUGAGCGAGGAAGUAUUUCGGUAUGUAAAGCUCUAUCAGCAGGGACGAAAAAAGACGGUACCUGACUAAGAAGCCCCGGCGAAAUACGUUCCAGCAGCCGCGGUAAUACGUCGGGGGCAAGCGUUAUCCGGGUUUACUGGGGGGAAAGGGAGCGGAGACGGGAAGGCAAGGCAGAAGUGAACGGGCAGGGCUCAAACCUGUACAUGCUUGUGAAAAUGUGGUGCUAGAGUGCAGGAGAGGUAAGUGGAAUUCAUAGUGUAGCGGUGAAAUGCGUAGAUAUUAGGAGGAACACCAGUGGCGAAGGCGGCUUACUGGACUGUAACUGACGUUGAGGCUCGAAAGCGUGGGGAGCAAACAGGAUUAGAUACCCGUGUAGUC
Molecule: ribosomal RNA, 441 nt
Filed under: uncultured bacterium
Lineage: Bacteria
Description: partial 16S ribosomal RNA
Rfam family: Bacterial small subunit ribosomal RNA
Source: RNAcentral